UGGGGAAUUUUGGACAAUGGGCGCAAGCCUGAUCCAGCCAUGCCGCGUGCGGGAAGAAGGCCUUCGGGUUGUAAACCGCUUUUGUCAGGGAAGAAAUCUUCUGAGUUAAUACCUCGGGAGGAUGACGGUACCUGAAGAAUAAGCACCGGCUAACUACGUGCCAGCAGCCGCGGUAAAUACGUAGGGUGCAAGCGUUAAUCGGAAUACUGGGCGUAAAGCGUGCGCAGGCGGUUUUGUAAGACAGAGGUGAAAUCCCCGGGCUCAACCUGGGAACUGCCUUUGUGACUGCAAGGCUUGAGUGCGGCAGAGGGGGAUGGAAUUCCGCGUGUAGCAGUGAAAUUGCGUAGAUAUGCGGAGGAACACCGAUGGCGAAGGCAAUCCCCUGGGCCUGCACUGACGCUCAUGCACGAAAGCGUGGGGAGCAAACAGGAUUAGAUACCCUGGUAGUCCACGCCCUAAAACGAUGUCAACUGGUUGUUGGGAAGGUUCCUUCUCAGUAACGUAGCUAACGCGUGAAGUUGACCG
RNAcentral lists this ribosomal RNA (525 nucleotides) under uncultured bacterium. RNAcentral describes it as "partial 16S ribosomal RNA". It matches the Rfam family "Bacterial small subunit ribosomal RNA", at positions 355 to 871 of the family's 1533-position model. The record is from RNAcentral.